UACGUAGGAGACGAGCGUUGUCCGGAAUUACUGGGCGUAAAGCGCGUGUAGGCGGAUGAGCAAGUCUGCUGUGAAAGCUCCUGGCUUAACCGGGAGUGGUCGGUGGAAACUGCUCGUCUGGAGGACGGUAGAGGUAGGUAGAAUUCCCGGUGUAGUGGUGAAAUGCGUAGAGAUCGGGAGGAAUACCUGUGGCGAAGGCGGCCUACUGGGCCGGACCUGACGCUGAGACGCGAAAGCUAGGGGAGCAAACGGG
Molecule: ribosomal RNA, 253 nt
Filed under: uncultured bacterium
Lineage: Bacteria
Description: partial 16S ribosomal RNA
Rfam family: Bacterial small subunit ribosomal RNA
Source: RNAcentral